This 389-nucleotide long non-coding RNA is filed under the name Populus tremula. RNAcentral's name for it is "long non-coding RNA (PTRE_LNC003133)". Lineage: Eukaryota; Viridiplantae; Streptophyta; Magnoliopsida; Malpighiales; Salicaceae. The record is from RNAcentral.
UUAAUAUUUAUUUCCAUGGAUUUUAUAGAAUUGUCUCAUGCAUCACUUGUAUUUAUUUUUGAGAGCACACACAUUAAACUUUAAGUUAGGUGGGGGACUAGCAGCUUACCUUAUGACUUGAGUCAAGGUUUAAGUUUGUGUAAACCCCAACUCUUUGUUGAGUGCUUAGACUGGUAAAUAUUGGUACACGUGCCAAUCCAUUACCUACUGGGCCCCUAUAUUGCCUUUACGAGGGUAAUCACUGGGACAACAAGAGACCCUUUUUUAGAGACCAAGUAGUAAACCUACCCUUUGUCUCAUGUAAAAAGAUUAGAACCUGCCUGUAGGAUGUAUGCUCCAUAAAUAUUUGUUUUGCAUCUGAGCAAACCCUUCUUGAAGCAUCUUGAACU